GCCCACUUAGCUUAGAGGUUAGAGCAUCGCAUUUGUAAUGUGAGGGUCAUCAAUUCAAGUCCGAUAGUUGCCU
This is a non-coding RNA of Triticum aestivum (bread wheat), 73 nucleotides long. The record is from Rfam. Lineage: Eukaryota; Viridiplantae; Streptophyta; Magnoliopsida; Poales; Poaceae.